CCUACGGGGGGCAGCAGUCGAGAAUCAUUCACAAUGGGGGAAACCCUGAUGGUGCGACGCCGCGUGGGGGAAUGAAGGUCUUCGGAUUGUAAACCCCUGUCAUGUGGGAGCAAAUCAAAAAGAGAGUACCACAAGAGGAAGAGACGGCUAACUCUGGACCAGCAGCCGCGGUAAUACAGAGGUCUCAAGCGUUGUUCGGAAUCACUGGGCGUAAAGCGUGCGUAGGCUGUUUCGUGAGUCGUGUGUGAAAGGCGCGGGCUCAACCCGCGGACGGCACAUGAUACUGCGAGACUAGAGUAAGGGAGAGGGAACCGGAAUGCUCGGUGUAGCAGUGAAAUGCGUAGAUAUCGAGAGGAACACUCGUGGCGAAGGCGGGUUCCUGGACAUUAACUGACGCUGAGGCACGAAGGCCAGGGGAGCGAAAAGGAUUAGAUACCCGAGUAGUC
Molecule: ribosomal RNA, 446 nt
Filed under: uncultured bacterium
Lineage: Bacteria
Description: partial 16S ribosomal RNA
Rfam family: Bacterial small subunit ribosomal RNA
Source: RNAcentral